CACGUGAGCAACCUGCCUUUAAGAGGGGGAUAACGUUUGGAAACGAACGCUAAUACCGCAUAACAUAGAAGAUUCGCAUGUUUCUUCUAUCAAAGAUUUAUCGCUUAAAGAUGGGCUCGCGUCUGAUUAGCUGGUUGGUGAGGUAACGGCUCACCAAGGCGACGAUCAGUAGCCGUACUGAGAGGUAGAACGGCCACAUUGGGACUGAGACACGGCCCAGACUCCUACGGGAGGCAGCAGUGGGGAAUAUUGCACAAUGGAGGGAACUCUGAUGCAGCGAUGCCGCGUGAGGGAAGAAGGUUUUAGGAUUGUAAACCCCUGUCUUCAGGGACGAUAAUGACGGUACCUGAGGAGGAAGCUCCGGCUAACUACGUGCCAGCAGCCGCGGUAAUACGUAGGGAGCGAGCGUUGUCCGGAAUUACUGGGUGUAAAGGGAGCGUAGGCGGGAUCUUAAGUCAGGUGUGAAAACUAUGGGCUCAACCCAUAGACUGCACUUGAAACUGAGGUUCUUGAGUGAAGUAGAGGCAGGCGGAAUUCCUAGUGUAGCGGUGAAAUGCGUAGAUAUUAGGAGGAACAUCAGUGGCGAAGGCGGCCUGCUGGGCUUUUACUGACGCUGAGGCUCGAAAGCGUGGGGAGCAAACAGGAUU
RNAcentral lists this ribosomal RNA (647 nucleotides) under uncultured bacterium. RNAcentral's name for it is "bacterial SSU rRNA". It matches the Rfam family "Bacterial small subunit ribosomal RNA", at positions 114 to 779 of the family's 1533-position model. The record is from RNAcentral.